UGGGGAAUAUUGGACAAUGGACCACAAGUCUGAUCCAGCAAUUCUGUGUGCACGAUGACGUUUUUCGGAAUGUAAAGUGCUUUCAGUCGGGAAGAAGCAAGUGACGGUACCGACAGAAGAAGCGACGGCUAAAUACGUGCCAGCAGCCGCGGUAAUACGUAUGUCGCAAGCGUUAUCCGGAUUUAUUGGGCGUAAAGCGCGUCUAGGCGGCGAGGAAAGUCUGAUGUGAAAAUGCGGGGCUCAACCCCGUAUUGCGUUGGAAACUGCCUUGCUAGAGUACUGGAGAGGUAGGCGGAACUACAAGUGUAGAGGUGAAAUUCGUAGAUAUUUGUAGGAAUGCCGAUGGGGAAGCCAGCCUACUGGACAGAUACUGACGCUAAAGCGCGAAAGCGUGGGUAGCAAACAGG
Molecule: ribosomal RNA, 407 nt
Filed under: uncultured Fusobacterium sp.
Lineage: Bacteria; Fusobacteriati; Fusobacteriota; Fusobacteriia; Fusobacteriales; Fusobacteriaceae
Description: bacterial SSU rRNA
Rfam family: Bacterial small subunit ribosomal RNA
Source: RNAcentral